This 532-nucleotide ribosomal RNA is filed under the name uncultured bacterium. RNAcentral describes it as "bacterial SSU rRNA". It matches the Rfam family "Bacterial small subunit ribosomal RNA", at positions 8 to 526 of the family's 1533-position model. The record is from RNAcentral.
AGGGUUUGAUCAUGGCUCAGAUUGAACGCUGGCGGUAUGCUUAACACAUGCAAGUCGAACGGCAGCAUGUCCUUUCUUCGGAAAAGAUGAUGGCGAGUGGCGGACGGGUGAGUAACACGUAGGUAUCUACCUUGUAGUGGGGGACAACUUGGGGAAACUCGAGCUAAUACCGCAUAACCUCUACGGAGUAAAGCUGGGGACCUUUUAGGCCUGGCGCUAUAAGAUGAGCCUGCGGCAGAUUAGCUAGUUGGUGGGGUAAAGGCCUACCAAGGCGACGAUCUGUAGCUGGUCUGAGAGGAUGAUCAGCCACACUGGGACUGAGACACGGCCCAGACUCCUACGGGAGGCAGCAGUGGGGAAUUUUGGACAAUGGGCGAAAGCCUGAUCCAGCAAUACCGCGUGUGUGACGAAGGCCUUCGGGUCGUAAAGCACUUUCAAUUGUGAAGAAAUGCACACGGUUAAUACCCGUGUGAGCUGACGUUAACAAUAGAAGAAGCACCGGCUAACUCUGUGCCAGCAGCCGCGGUAAUUC